Molecule: non-coding RNA, 134 nt
Organism: Gossypium hirsutum (cotton)
Lineage: Eukaryota; Viridiplantae; Streptophyta; Magnoliopsida; Malvales; Malvaceae
Source: Rfam
UGUUAAAGAUUUCAUCCAUUUCUACUAUUAAAACCUAGCGUGGCUGAUGGGAUAACUGAACAAUUACACUACGUGCACCUCAAGCUACAAGGAAGACUAAUUUUUAACAUUAGAAAUGGAUGAAAAUUUUAAUA